Perognathus longimembris pacificus (Pacific pocket mouse) is the source of this 3490-nucleotide long non-coding RNA. RefSeq lists it as uncharacterized. Lineage: Eukaryota; Metazoa; Chordata; Mammalia; Rodentia; Heteromyidae. The record is from RefSeq and is a predicted model, not a curated record. The transcript is spliced from 5 exons.
UUUUCUGAGCAAGUGUAGUAUUGACAUGCUAUUCUGGUGACUGAAGGGUUAAUAGCUUCUCUAAUUCUCUCUCUUUUCCUCUCUCCCCCCCCCUCCAUCCAUCCUCCUGUCCCCUACCCCAAUCCUAUCAUGUGCCUGGUUGACACUGAAAGCAGGGCUUGAAGUUGCCCACAGGGUAACCCUUUUCCCAGCUUUCUCCCAGGCCACCUGGGCAGAGGGAGCUUGCCUUCUGUCCUGAGGACACAGAAUCCAAUCAAGGCACUGGGGCUGCCAGUCUCCCUGACCUGUGAGUUGGGGAGAGGGAGGAGAAACAGAGGCAACUCACAUGAUAGGAUGGCUUGUGUGUGUGUGUGUGGUGGUGGUGGGGGGUGGGUUUAGAGGGCUCCUGGCUGGACUACUGGUGGGAGGAAGUUCUAAGUUAUUUUCACGAUAAGGUGUCAUUCAUGGGAGCAGUGUGCUGAACUAAUCAGGUUAAUUGAGAGGCCCUGGAUGGUCCGCAGUGAGCCCAUCUUCCCUUGCUGUUAAAGGCAGAUGGUUCAGACACAGCGCACACAUUCUCCUCCUCUCUCCGAAUCUCAGGGACUCUGUGGGCCGGCAGCUGAACGUCAAUCAGACUCUCUGAGCAAGGGUUCUCACUAUAGAAAGGUGAAGCAGCAGGACAAUAAAAUGGCCAGCUCUUCUGGAAAUUAAACAGUGCCUUGGGGAUGUUGGAUACUGUCUUUGUGUUUUGUUUUUUUUUUAAGAUCUUAAAAUAAUCUCAGCGUUUCAAAUCAGCCAAGGAAAAGGCCGCCAGUGGGAGAAUCCAGAGAGACCUCCCCCUCCCCCUCCCGCUAAUUUAAGAUGGAAACGUACACCACCAAUCUGGUGGUGGUGGGGUGUCUUCCUGACAAGGAGCUCCCGGGCCUAGGGAUGACUUCUUUGGUUUUGGAGCUGGACGCUGGGGGCUGUGUCUGAAUGCGUGGAAUCCCAGGCCUGACCGUGGAGCUGACCGUGGGGCUGCGGGAGUGGAGGAGAAAUAAAGCCAGUUCACUGCAUUCUGUCCGGGGGGGGGGCCCUCCUCCCUCUUCCACACUCCAAAUAAUUUGUCAUAGUUUAAUUUUAAACACUGUCAUUGACUAUUCUUUUAUUUUUUUUUUUAUCCCACCUCUUCCCGACCUCCCCCCCCCUACUUUUUUUUUUUUUCUUGGAAGUUCCAGGAAUGACUUUAAUUAUCUCCACAAUCAAAUUCUCAUUGCUGCCUCCUUGAAAGUGUGUAGUCAGAGAUUGCAGGGAUUAUUUUCUUUAGCACUUGGGGAUAGAGAAACCCGUUGUUUCAAAAUGAGAACCGGCUGGUUCCACAGAGCCCUCAUUUACCAGGGAGCCUCUUAGUACACAAAGCCUGCGCUCAGGUCAGUCAUUACGGCGAACCUCAAAUCAGCAGUGUUUGGGCUAUCACUCUUUAUUAAAUGUCAAGCAAAGACUGUUUAGCCGAUACGACGAUAAUAAUAAUUUUAAAAAAAUCAACCCACCCCGUGUCUUUAAUUUUGUCCCAGCUAAACAUUUGAAUUUGGAAGGAAUACCUCUUAAACUUCUUCCUGUGGCAAUUAUAAUCCUGGGCCUAGUUUACCACUUUCUCUUGGGUGGUUUAGGGUGUGUAUGUGUGUGUGCACGCGUUUGUGUGUGUGUGUGUGUGUGUGUGUGUAUGCGAGUGAGGAGAGAGAGGAAGAGAGAGAGAGAGAGAGAGAGAGCGAGCUCACAAGCUUUAAGUCUUGGUUUUCAUCCUGUGUGGGGCUUUCUUAAAUGAAGGCCAUAGUUAACAGAAUGACUCGAGAGCUCUUGAUAAGCCUCUUGAGAUAAUUUGGUGGUAAGCAAAAUGCAUUCUCGGGAUAUACUCAUUUCAAGUGCUCUGUGAGUGGUACAUUUUUUAAGGAAGCUAAUGUCAUAGUACUGUUCAUGGAAAUUCCAAAGUAAAUAUUAUUAGGAUGUUUUAUAAAGAGAGAGAAGUGAGGGGCAGACACACACACACACACACACACACACACACACACACACACACACACACACACAGGUAGGGUCUGGCUUGGGGUUCCACAGAAAACAUCUAUCAUUUAACCUGGGCUCUUCCAGACUGCACUGGACCUGUCUAGGCUUAAGAAGAAUAAUAUAUAGAGAUGAGAGACCAGAAAUACCACUGUUUUAUGCCAGCUUUAUGUAACAGUUUAGGAGACCUACUUAAGAUCUGACCACGGCACGAGAAGUGAUAUGUUUCCAUUUCUAAAUAGAAUUGUCUGCAAGAGAUGAGGGAAAUUCCUUCCUGUGAAAGGAACAUAAUAAAGGAGCCUAGACUUUGGAAUCCAAUGGCCUGGAUUUGAAUUUUGGCUAUUACGAUACCUGGCAACAUAUAUUAACUUCUUCUACUCCUUAAAUUUGUCCAAUGGGGAGAAUAAUACCAGCGUUAUUUAUAGGAUCAUGUGUUGAGAAGUACAAGAUAUGAUUCUGACCUGUGAUGAAUAUACAAAUCAAAGACAUUAAAGAUAAAUCAGAGACAUUUUUUAUUUCCAUUAUGCUUCUGAAAAUUAAAGAGGGAUAUUUGAUAUACCCACUGUGUUGACAAGGCAGUCCCCUCUAUGACGCAGAACACAAUCGACAUCUAUCAGAGGUUUCUAGAAUGGAUUCACCAGCUAACCUAGAACAAAAAUAUAGUCUGACAUUUGAAAAUGUCUUGUUUUCCUUUACGGUGAAAAUUCCUCCAAAGAGGAGAGGAAGAUGGCAGGCUUCCAAGCUGCACCCACAAAAAGAUGGCCGUUUUGUUUUUAUUUUAACUGCAAGUGGCCAAGAUUUCCCAACUGUUCUAUUUUUAUGAAUUUUAAAAGUUUCAUUGCUGGGUCAGAUUUAGGGCCUGUGUGGGAAAGGACAGUUUCUGCCAGCAAGCAAGAUGCCUGCUGGGUUGUGGUCUCCAUGCAGUUUUACAUUCCAAGCAUUGCUGAACCCUACAUAUGGGGGAGCCCUAAAUCACCCGAGCUUUAUGUGAGUUUGCGACCUUUCCCUUUGGACCUCAGAGUGGACGCAUGGUUUGAAAACUGGAGAUAUGAUGCUAGUGACUGCCACAGAUUCCGCCUCCCCCAUCUCCCGGCCCCGCCCUUCACUUCCCCAGUUGAAGUCAAAGGUAAUCUUUAUAUAUAGCACAGGAAAUAUUUGGGGCUGCUAAUAAACAAAUGCUAGAAAUGAUGAGGCUUGAUUGUGGAGUGUCCCUCUGCAUGCAUUUGAGAUGGAGAGAUGAAGGAGGGGUUUGUUUCCCUACAGGAUUCAGAUUUUUUGGACAGACAGGUAUCAGUAGGUGCUGGGCCUGCUAUAGGAGAAGUCUGUGGAUUUGUAGGCCCUGUGGCGAUCCUUCUCCUUGGGUUCUUGGUCAACCCCCCCCCCCCUUGGUCUCUGGGGCUCUGCAGAUUUCACCUUUCCCUUCACCCCCAAGGGUGUGAUGCCUACUGGAGUGGCACCCUUCCCCAGAGCC